AUUGAACGCUGGCGGCAGGCCUAACACAUGCAAGUCGAGCGGUAGAGAGGUGCUUGCAUCUCUUGAGAGCGGCGGACGGGUGAGUAAUGCCUAGGAAUCUGCCUAGUGGUGGGGGAUAACGUUCGGAAACGGACGCUAAUACCGCAUACGUCCUACGGGAGAAAGCGGGGGAUCUUCGGACCUCGCGCCAUUAGAUGAGCCUAGGUCGGAUUAGCUAGUUGGUGAGGUAAUGGCUCACCAAGGCGACGAUCCGUAACUGGUCUGAGAGGAUGAUCAGUCACACUGGAACUGAGACACGGUCCAGACUCCUACGGGAGGCAGCAGUGGGGAAUAUUGGACAAUGGGCGAAAGCCUGAUCCAGCCAUGCCGCGUGUGUGAAGAAGGUCUUUCGGAUUGUAAAGCACUUUAAGUUGGGAGGAAGGUAGUAACCUAAUACGUUAGCUAC
Molecule: ribosomal RNA, 445 nt
Filed under: uncultured bacterium
Lineage: Bacteria
Description: bacterial SSU rRNA
Rfam family: Bacterial small subunit ribosomal RNA
Source: RNAcentral